UAUUUUCAUGCUUACAACAUUAACCAAGUCUUAAAUUAAGCAUAUACUUUAUCUGCCAUUGUACAUGGAACUGUCAAGGAUACCAUUUGAAAGGAUACUGACAGAAGUUAACCAUCUUGUGUUCUAUAAAGUUGCUUAUCAGUAUUUUAAAUUGCAGUAAAAGGUGCAAAAAGAAGCUUGGAGGGUUAGACAAAGUUAAGAUCUUUAUUUUAUGAACUUACAAAGUAAGAUGGUUGGCAGAAGUUUCUUGAAAGGGGGUCAACUUUGGGAAUACAGAAGUUCUGGUAUUUUCAAGGGCAGAAAAUCAAUAGACUUAUCUUGCAGGAUUUGCUUAGCUCUGAAAAUCUUGUGAUGUGUUGCAGGUUUGGACAAGUUGUGAAUCAUCAUAAGGAUUUAAUACAUAUUAACACUUUUGUUCUUCCUUUUAUUGAGUUAUUUUAGUUAGUAAAAAUGAUUUGAUACUGUUUCGUGCAACUGUAUAAAAACAGGGCCAUAUGCUAAAGACGUUAUAUUUUCAUUUAUUUUAUUUUAUCUUUUUUUUUUU
This is a long non-coding RNA of Neltuma alba, 544 nucleotides long. RefSeq lists it as uncharacterized. The record is from RefSeq and is a predicted model, not a curated record. NCBI's taxonomy places the organism in Eukaryota, Viridiplantae, Streptophyta, Magnoliopsida, Fabales, Fabaceae. The transcript has 2 exons.